GCCGGGCGCGGUGGCUCACGCCUGUAAUCCCAGCACUUUGGGAGGCUGAGGCGGGUGGAUCGCUUGAGGUCAGGAGUAGAGACCAACCUGGCCAACAUGGCGAAACCCCGUCUCUA
This 116-nucleotide non-coding RNA is filed under the name Gorilla gorilla gorilla (western lowland gorilla). Lineage: Eukaryota; Metazoa; Chordata; Mammalia; Primates; Hominidae. The record is from Rfam by way of RNAcentral.